GUGAAAUUUCUUCAGUUUUAGUUACAAGAAGCUUGGAAAAUUAAUGGUAUCAUAGUUCUUGAUGAUACUUCUGUUGUAUGCCUGUUAAAAGAGAGGGAAAGAAAGAGGAGUUUGAGCAAUUGUAAUGUCCAUCUCUUGCUAAAAUGUCUGUAAGAACUUUGAAUGUUAGUUACUGUUUAGUAGAGGGGAUUAUAAAGGGAGCUUGGUUUGGAAGAAGA
This 218-nucleotide unclassified non-coding RNA is filed under the name Hevea brasiliensis (rubber tree). The record is from RNAcentral. Lineage: Eukaryota; Viridiplantae; Streptophyta; Magnoliopsida; Malpighiales; Euphorbiaceae.